RNAcentral lists this ribosomal RNA (1552 nucleotides) under Salmonella enterica subsp. enterica serovar 43:a:1,7. RNAcentral describes it as "bacterial SSU rRNA". It matches the Rfam family "Bacterial small subunit ribosomal RNA". Lineage: Bacteria; Pseudomonadati; Pseudomonadota; Gammaproteobacteria; Enterobacterales; Enterobacteriaceae. The record is from RNAcentral.
AAAUUGAAGAGUUUGAUCAUGGCUCAGAUUGAACGCUGGCGGCAGGCCUAACACAUGCAAGUCGAACGGUAGCACAGAGAGCUUGCUCUCGGGUGACGAGUGGCGGACGGGUGAGUAAUGUCUGGGAAACUGCCUGAUGGAGGGGGAUAACUACUGGAAACGGUGGCUAAUACCGCAUAACGUCGCAAGACCAAAGAGGGGGACCUUCGGGCCUCUUGCCAUCAGAUGUGCCCAGAUGGGAUUAGCUAGUUGGUGAGGUAACGGCUCACCAAGGCGACGAUCCCUAGCUGGUCUGAGAGGAUGACCAGCCACACUGGAACUGAGACACGGUCCAGACUCCUACGGGAGGCAGCAGUGGGGAAUAUUGCACAAUGGGCGCAAGCCUGAUGCAGCCAUGCCGCGUGUAUGAAGAAGGCCUUCGGGUUGUAAAGUACUUUCAGCGGGGAGGAAGGUGUUGUGGUUAAUAACCGCAGCAAUUGACGUUACCCGCAGAAGAAGCACCGGCUAACUCCGUGCCAGCAGCCGCGGUAAUACGGAGGGUGCAAGCGUUAAUCGGAAUUACUGGGCGUAAAGCGCACGCAGGCGGUCUGUCAAGUCGGAUGUGAAAUCCCCGGGCUCAACCUGGGAACUGCAUUCGAAACUGGCAGGCUUGAGUCUUGUAGAGGGGGGUAGAAUUCCAGGUGUAGCGGUGAAAUGCGUAGAGAUCUGGAGGAAUACCGGUGGCGAAGGCGGCCCCCUGGACAAAGACUGACGCUCAGGUGCGAAAGCGUGGGGAGCAAACAGGAUUAGAUACCCUGGUAGUCCACGCCGUAAACGAUGUCUACUUGGAGGUUGUGCCCUUGAGGCGUGGCUUCCGGAGCUAACGCGUUAAGUAGACCGCCUGGGGAGUACGGCCGCAAGGUUAAAACUCAAAUGAAUUGACGGGGGCCCGCACAAGCGGUGGAGCAUGUGGUUUAAUUCGAUGCAACGCGAAGAACCUUACCUGGUCUUGACAUCCACAGAACUUUCCAGAGAUGGAUUGGUGCCUUCGGGAACUGUGAGACAGGUGCUGCAUGGCUGUCGUCAGCUCGUGUUGUGAAAUGUUGGGUUAAGUCCCGCAACGAGCGCAACCCUUAUCCUUUGUUGCCAGCGGUCCGGCCGGGAACUCAAAGGAGACUGCCAGUGAUAAACUGGAGGAAGGUGGGGAUGACGUCAAGUCAUCAUGGCCCUUACGACCAGGGCUACACACGUGCUACAAUGGCGCAUACAAAGAGAAGCGACCUCGCGAGAGCAAGCGGACCUCAUAAAGUGCGUCGUAGUCCGGAUUGGAGUCUGCAACUCGACUCCAUGAAGUCGGAAUCGCUAGUAAUCGUGGAUCAGAAUGCCACGGUGAAUACGUUCCCGGGCCUUGUACACACCGCCCGUCACACCAUGGGAGUGGGUUGCAAAAGAAGUAGGUAGCUUAACCUUCGGGAGGGCGCUUACCACUUUGUGAUUCAUGACUGGGGUGAAGUCGUAACAAGGUAACCGUAGGGGAACCUGCGGUUGGAUCACCUCCUUACCUUAAAGAAGC